GCCACCUUAGCUCAGCUGGUAGAGCAACCGCCUUGUAAGCGGUAGGUCGUCGGUUCGAAUCCGACAGGUGGCUCCA
This 76-nucleotide transfer RNA is filed under the name Candidatus Peregrinibacteria bacterium. RNAcentral describes it as "tRNA-Thr". It matches the Rfam family "tRNA". Rfam says of the family: Transfer RNA (tRNA) molecules are approximately 80 nucleotides in length. The record is from RNAcentral. Lineage: Bacteria; Candidatus Peregrinibacteriota.